Pogoniulus pusillus (Red-fronted tinkerbird) is the source of this 375-nucleotide long non-coding RNA. RefSeq lists it as uncharacterized. The transcript has 3 exons. The record is from RefSeq and is a predicted model, not a curated record. NCBI's taxonomy places the organism in Eukaryota, Metazoa, Chordata, Aves, Piciformes, Lybiidae.
GCAAUUUAGCAUUAUAGCAAAUGUAUCAAAGCAAUUUAGCAUCUGCAAAAGACUCCAAAUUAACUCCUCUGUUACUGAGAGUCACCGAGACAGGGAUCCCAGCACAUCCAGCUGGAGAAACUGUAAAGCGGCAAUACCGCCGCUUCCAUCUGUCACCACACAGAGACUUGUACCACAGCCAAGACACAAACCUCUACUGCAACAGCGCCCGGCACAAACUGGAGUGUGAGCUGGUUUUUAUUAGUGCUCAGGCAAAUAAAACCACCCAGCCAAUAGAACAAAAAGAGUCACGAAAGAGAAAAGCGUCUUCCUUGUGCUCAAGGUGACCUUGGCUGCACCAGCACACACCAAAGACUUGCUUUCCUUUGGAAAAAA